This 460-nucleotide ribosomal RNA is filed under the name uncultured bacterium. RNAcentral describes it as "partial 16S ribosomal RNA". It matches the Rfam family "Bacterial small subunit ribosomal RNA", at positions 338 to 795 of the family's 1533-position model. The record is from RNAcentral.
CCUACGGGAGGCAGCAGUGAGGAAUAUUGGUCAAUGGACGAGAGUCUGAACCAGCCAAGUAGCGUGAAGGAUGACUGCCCUAUGGGUUGUAAACUUCUUUUAUAUGGGAAUAAAAUGUGCCACGUGUGGGAUUUUGUAUGUACCAUAUGAAUAAGGAUCGGCUAACUCCGUGCCAGCAGCCGCGGUAAUACGGAGGAUCCGAGCGUUAUCCGGAUUUAUUGGGUUUAAAGGGAGCGCAGGUGGAUUGUUAAGUCAGUUGUGAAAGUUUGCGGCUCAAACGUAAAAUUGCAGUUGAAACUGGCAGUCUUGAGUACAGUAGAGGUGGGCGGAAUUCGUGGUGUAGCGGUGAAAUGCUUAGAUAUCACGAAGAACUCCGAUUGCGAAGGCAGUUCACUGUACUGCAACUGACACUGAGGCUCGAAAGUGUGGGUAUCAAACAGGAUUAGAUACCCCAGUAGUC